Molecule: ribosomal RNA, 253 nt
Filed under: uncultured bacterium
Lineage: Bacteria
Description: partial 16S ribosomal RNA
Rfam family: Bacterial small subunit ribosomal RNA
Source: RNAcentral
UACGUAGGCAGCAAGCGUUGUUCGGAGUUACUGGGCGUAAAGGGUGUGUAGGCGGUUGUUUAAGUUUGGUGUGAAAUCUCCCGGCUCAACUGGGAGGGUGCGCCGAAUACUGAAUGACUAGAGUGCGGGAGAGGAAAGUGGAAUUCCUGGUGUAGCGGUGAAAUGCGUAGAUAUCAGGAGGAACACCGGUGGUGUAGACGGCUUUCUGGACCGUAACUGACGCUGAGACACGAAAGCGUGGGGAGCGAACAGG